Molecule: long non-coding RNA, 566 nt
Organism: Capsicum annuum
Lineage: Eukaryota; Viridiplantae; Streptophyta; Magnoliopsida; Solanales; Solanaceae
Exons: 2
Source: RefSeq, a predicted model, not a curated record
GGAAGCGGACGAUCUUCAGGUCCUUGGUCAGAAUAAUAUCCCGUUAUUCAAGUAGCUCUUAAGCACCACCAGAACAGGUACUAAAGUCAUUCAGAAAUUUCAAUGCAGCCGGAAGUGGGAUCUUUGUGUGCAAGGAGUUAGAAUUUUCAUGCAGGCUGGUGGAAUCAGCCAUCGAUAGGCAUUUGAAGUGGAGGUGCAUCAGUAAGUGCUAUUAAAAUCCUCUUUUGCCAAUUAAUGCAUCAAUUGAUAGGAAUUGAAUGAGUCAAGGUUAAUUCUUUUCCAUUGAUAAGCAUUUGGAGUUGAGGGCAGCAGUAUUUAAUGAUAAAGAUGUUUAAAUAGGUGUUGAUGUAAAAUAUUUGUCCUCAUGUGCAAUGAUAAGCCUUGUGCCUAUUAAUACAUCGACGCUGAAUACCCCUUCUCAAAUUUAAGACAAAUUGGUUCAAGAAAAAUGUACUAGUCUUAAUGUGGAUUGUAACGAUGCAGCUUCACUCCGCCAGAUUUCCAUAGGUGAAUGGAAAUGCUAUCUGGCCUUUGUUUCCAAGUUGUUAUCUUACACUAUGGUUUUC